This 414-nucleotide ribosomal RNA is filed under the name uncultured microorganism. RNAcentral's name for it is "bacterial SSU rRNA". It matches the Rfam family "Archaeal small subunit ribosomal RNA", at positions 459 to 872 of the family's 1478-position model. The record is from RNAcentral.
CAGCCGCCGCGGUAAUACCGGCGGCCCGAGUGGCGGUCACUCUUAUUGGGCUUAAAGCGUCCGUAGCCGGGUUGGGAAGUCCUCCGGGAAAUCUGGCCGCUUAACGGUCAGAAUGCCGGAGGAUACUCCCAGCCUAGGGAGCGGGAGAGGCCGAGGGUAUUCCCGGAGUAGGGGGGAAAUCCUAUAAUCCCGGGAGGACCACCUGUGGCGAAGGCGCUCGGCUGGAACGCGUCCGACGGUGAGGGACGAAGGCCAGGGGAGCAAACCGGAUUAGAUACCCGGGUAGUCCUGGCUGUAAACGAUGCGGACUUUGUGUCGGACAAGCUAUGAGCUUGUCCGGUGCCGGAGGGAAACCGUUAAGUCCGCCGCCUGGGGAGUACGGCCGCAAGGCUGAAACUUAAAGGAAUUGGCGGG